UACGGGGGGAGCAAGCGUUGUUCGGAUUUACUGGGCGUAAAGGGCGCGUAGGCGGCCACCUCAAGUCGACUGUGAAAUCUCUGGGCUUAACCCAGAACGGUCAGCCGAUACUGCGGGGCUAGAGUGCAGAAGGGGCAACUGGAAUUCUCGGUGUAGCGGUGAAAUGCGUAGAUAUCGAGAGGAACACCUGCGGCGAAGGCGGGUUGCUGGGCUGACACUGACGCUGAGGCGCGAAAGCUAGGGGAGCGAACGGG
RNAcentral lists this ribosomal RNA (254 nucleotides) under uncultured bacterium. Its description in RNAcentral is "partial 16S ribosomal RNA". It matches the Rfam family "Bacterial small subunit ribosomal RNA", at positions 524 to 776 of the family's 1533-position model. The record is from RNAcentral.